CCUACGGGUGGCAGCAGUAGGGAAUCUUCCACAAUGGGCGAAAGCCUGAUGGAGCAACGCCGCGUGGGUGAAGAAGGUCUUCGGAUCGUAAAACUCUUUUGUUAGAGAAGAAAGUGCUUGCGAGUCACUGUUCACGUUUCGACGGUAUCUAACUAGCAAGCCACGGCUAACUACGUGCCAGCAGCCGCGGUAAUGCGUUGGUGGCAAGCGUUAUCCGUGUUUGUUGGGCGUAAAGGGAACGUAGGCGGUCCUUUAAGUCAGAUGUGAAAGCCUUCGGCUUAACCGGUGUAGUGCAUUUGAAACUGGGGGACUUGAGUGCAGGAGAGGCAAGUGGAAUUCCAGGUGUAGCGGUGAAAUGCGUAGAUAUAUGGAAGAACACCAGUGGCGAAGGCGGCUCUCUGGACUGUAACUGACGCUGAGGUUCGAAAGCGUGGGUAGCAAACAGGAUUAGAUACCCGUGUAGUC
RNAcentral lists this ribosomal RNA (465 nucleotides) under uncultured bacterium. RNAcentral's name for it is "partial 16S ribosomal RNA". It matches the Rfam family "Bacterial small subunit ribosomal RNA", at positions 338 to 795 of the family's 1533-position model. The record is from RNAcentral.